RNAcentral lists this unclassified non-coding RNA (351 nucleotides) under soil metagenome. RNAcentral describes it as "partial contains 5.8S ribosomal RNA, internal transcribed spacer 2, and large subunit ribosomal RNA". The stretch from base 2 to 119 matches the Rfam family "5.8S ribosomal RNA", at positions 37 to 154 of the family's 154-position model. The record is from RNAcentral.
GUGAAGAACGCAGCGAAAUGCGAUAAGUAAUGUGAAUUGCAGAAUUCAGUGAAUCAUCGAAUCUUUGAACGCACAUUGCGCCCGCCAGUAUUCUGGCGGGCAUGCCUGUUCGAGCGUCAUUACAACCCUCAGGCCCCCGGGCCUGGCGUUGGGGAUCGGCGGAAGCCCCCUGUGGGCACACGCCGUCCCUCAAAUACAGUGGCGGUCCCGCCGCAGCUUCCAUUGCGUAGUAGCUAACACCUCGCAACUGGAGAGCGGCGCGGCCAUGCCGUAAAACACCCAACUUCUGAAUGUUGACCUCGAAUCAGGUAGGAAUACCCGCUGAACUUAAGCAUAUCAAUAAGCGGAGGA